UAAAUUGUAAAACCUUUGGUAGUUCAACUUCAGUUUAGUUAGAAUGCAGUAUCAUAUGUAUUUACUUCAGGUUUCAAUUUCAAAAGUGAAUUAAACCUAGUUCAUUUCUGAGCCUUUAACCUGCUGUGUGGCUAUGCAAUGUUAAAUUUGCGUCCUUGGAAAUGUUUUUCAAGUUUUGAUUAUGUUCAAUGUAUUACCAUGGCUUGUUAUUGAAGUAAGGUUGAGUUGGAAUAUAGUGAUA
Molecule: unclassified non-coding RNA, 241 nt
Filed under: Hevea brasiliensis (rubber tree)
Lineage: Eukaryota; Viridiplantae; Streptophyta; Magnoliopsida; Malpighiales; Euphorbiaceae
Source: RNAcentral